UACGGGAGGCAGCAGUGGGGAAUAUUGCACAAUGGGCGAAAGCCUGAUGCAGCUAUGCCACGUGUAUGAAGAAGGCCUUAGGGUUGUAAAGUACUUUCAUCGGGGAGGAAAAAACAAAACUAAUAAUUUUAUUUCUUGACGUUACCCGAAAAAGAAGCACCGGCUAACUCCGUGCCAGCAGCCGCGGUAAUACGGAGGGUGCUAGCGUUAAUCAGAAUUACUGGGCGUAAAGAGCACGUAGGUGGUUUUUUUAAGUCAGAUGUGAAAUCCCUGGGCUUAACCUAGGAACUGCAUUUUGAAACUGAAAUACUAGAGUAUCGUAGAGGGAGGUAGAAUUCUAGGUGUAGCGGUGAAAUGCGUAGAUAUCUGGAGGAAUACCUGUGGCGAAAGCGGCCUCCUAAACGAAUACUGACACUGAGGUGCGAAAGCGUGGGGAGCAAACAGGGAUUAGAUACC
RNAcentral lists this ribosomal RNA (456 nucleotides) under uncultured bacterium. RNAcentral describes it as "bacterial SSU rRNA". It matches the Rfam family "Bacterial small subunit ribosomal RNA", at positions 340 to 786 of the family's 1533-position model. The record is from RNAcentral.